Molecule: ribosomal RNA, 497 nt
Filed under: uncultured bacterium
Lineage: Bacteria
Description: bacterial SSU rRNA
Rfam family: Bacterial small subunit ribosomal RNA
Source: RNAcentral
UGCAGUCGAGCGAGCGGAACUAACAGAUUUACUUCGGUAAUGACGUUGGAAAGCGAGCGGCGGAUGGGUGAGUAACACGUGGGGAACCUGCCCCAUAGUCUGGGAUACCACUUGGAAACAGGUGCUAAUACCGGAUAAGAAAGCAGAUCGCAUGAUCAGCUUUUAAAAGGCGGCGUAAGCUGUCGCUAUGGGAUGGCCCCGCGGUGCAUUAGCUAGUUGGUAAGGUAAAGGCUUACCAAGGCGAUGAUGCAUAGCCGAGUUGAGAGACUGAUCGGCCACAUUGGGACUGAGACACGGCCCAAACUCCUACGGGAGGCAGCAGUAGGGAAUCUUCCACAAUGGACGCAAGUCUGAUGGAGCAACGCCGCGUGAGUGAAGAAGGUUUUCGGAUCGUAAAGCUCUUUUGUUGGUGAAGAAGGAUAGAGGUAGUAACUGGCCUUUAUUUGACGGUAAUCAACCAGAAAGUCACGGCUAACUACGUGCCAGCGGAAAAAAAA